RNAcentral lists this long non-coding RNA (1469 nucleotides) under Rhinolophus ferrumequinum (greater horseshoe bat). Its description in RNAcentral is "lncRNA (ENSRFEG00010005904.1)". The record is from RNAcentral. Lineage: Eukaryota; Metazoa; Chordata; Mammalia; Chiroptera; Rhinolophidae.
CCGGGCACCCCUUCCCCUACCAGGCAGAAGAAAGGUUUUAACAAGGGGAAGGGGCAGUCCGCACAAGCAGCAGAGGACCUGAGUGGGGCAGAAGGGCAGGGCAGUCAGGACCAGGCCAAGCCCCCUCACCCUCCACCAGCUCAAAGGGACUCCACCCAUGAAGCCGAACUCGGCUCAUGGAGGGCCAAGCACACGGUCCGGAAGAGAUACCAGCAACACAAACAAGGGGCCACCACACCCGGUACAUGGGCUGCUCCAGCCACGGACAGGGACCCCACCACGGCAGAGGCUGAUGGAGGUGCAAUUGGGGGCUUUGGCCUCAGCCCCUUCAUCUGGCCACCCCCAAACGCCCACCCUCUGUGCUCUGAGCUAAGAAUGCCGACCGGCCGCCAGGCCACAUGGGGCCUGGAGCAGCCUUCCCCAGGGCCGCCCCUGCCAGAAGGAGCCAGUGCAGGCGAGGAAGAGCUGCUGCACACACAGGUAGUGUCCCCCACCCAGAGGGGAGGCCGCAGGGUCCAGUCCGUCCUCGGAAUCAUUUACAGCGCUUCAGGGGAGCCCCAGGAAGGCAGCACCUCGAGCCCCUGUGCAAGUCAGGCCAGGAGACCCAAAGGUCCUGGGAGCGCAGCGCCAACCUACAGGCAGUUUCCUCCCCCUGCAGCCUGGAUGGGCUAUGGGGGCAAGGAGAGCGAGGACAGAGAAGAGCCCCAGAGCCACUGGAGACCUGGAGACGGCAUGCAGAGAACAGGGACUGGGCUGGCGAACCACCACUCAGCAGCUGCCAAGGCCAGCUCCAGCCCCAAACCCUGCCAACUUGGGCAGCCGGCCUGGGAGCAGGCCUGAGCAGCCCGUCCCAGCCUAGGUUUAGGCCAACCGCUGCUUGUUCUUGUGGAGAUGUGUGUGUUCUUGUCUGAGCAGUUACCCCCGCUGACCACCCCACCCCAGAGACCCCGAGCCCAGUCCCAGGAGACUGCAGGAAACACGAAUGAGGGCAUGGCCGGUGCUCACCUGUGACCUCAGGAAGGAAGAACUGCACCGGGGCCAGAGGGGGACUGUGUCUCACCCUGUUGUUCCUUAUGACUCAGUUUCCUCGGCCUGGUGGAGUGUCCCCUGCUGUGUUUUCCAGCAUCCUAUGACUGUCCUGUCCAGACCAUAGGGCAGGGCCAGACCCCAGCAUGUGGGCCAGAGGGGGAGGGGUGCCCUGCCGUGAGUGGACAUCGCCAGCGUCCAUCAUCCUGCAAAAGUCCAUUGUGGGGCCAUCAGGAUGGGGGACUAUGGCAGGAGGGUCUUGGUGUGUGGGGGGGUUGGCAGCUGAUGCACCUCGUCAGGGACCCCAAGGAGGCGGGGGCAGGGGUCUGGAGACCUAUGGGCUCUAGUGGACAUUAGAAGUUCCUCUCUGUGGUUUUAUUCCCUUUCUUCAAUGGUUUCAGUUAAAUGUUUAUCUUCAAUAAAUGGUUUCAGCUGUGUCUCGC